RNAcentral lists this ribosomal RNA (468 nucleotides) under uncultured bacterium. RNAcentral describes it as "partial 16S ribosomal RNA". It matches the Rfam family "Bacterial small subunit ribosomal RNA", at positions 28 to 507 of the family's 1533-position model. The record is from RNAcentral.
GACGAACGCUGGCGGCGUGCUUAACACAUGCAAGUCGAACGGAAAGGCCCUGCUUUUGUGGGGUGCUCGAGUGGCGAACGGGUGAGUAACACGUGAGUAACCUGCCCUUGACUUUGGGAUAACUUCAGGAAACUGGGGCUAUUACCGGAUAGGAGCUCCUGCUGCAUGGUGGGGGUUGGAAAGUUUCGGCGGUUGGGGAUGGACUCGCGGCUUAUCAGCUUCUUGGUGUGGUAGUGGCUUACCAAGGCUUCGACGGGUAGCCGGCCUGAGAGGGUGACCGGCCACAAUGGGACUGAGAUACGGCCCAGACUCCUACGGGAGGCAGCAGUGGGGAAUAUUGCACAAUGGGCGGAAGCCUGAUGCAGCAACGCCGCGUGCGGGAUGACGUCCUUCGGGUUGUAAACCGCUUUCGCCUGUGACGAAGCGUGAGUGACGGUAAUGGGUAAAGAAGCACCGGCUAACUACGUG